Molecule: long non-coding RNA, 1034 nt
Organism: Cucumis sativus (cucumber)
Lineage: Eukaryota; Viridiplantae; Streptophyta; Magnoliopsida; Cucurbitales; Cucurbitaceae
Exons: 2
Source: RefSeq, a predicted model, not a curated record
UUCUGAGGAAAAAAAAACCAGAUUAUGUCAAGCUAAUAAUCAGCAGAAGGGCAAUCAGAUCAUUUCAAGAUGCCAAGAAGAGCUUACAGCAAGAAGGGAAAAUUUUAGAAUAAGAAUAGUUUAAUGGCUUUGAAUUACUUUAGUAACCUGAGACGCAUUCUAAGAAGCAAGACACUAGAAAACAAAAUAUCAUCUGAACACCCAAAAGUUUUGGGAAUAUCCAAACCCGUGAAGUACGUGUCAACGUGCAUUAGUAGUAAAUCUUUUUCUAAAAAAAGAAUAGAAAAUUUUAAACUUCACAGAUGUAUGAAUUCUUGAUAGGUUUUUAAAAUAAAAUUAUAUACUUUGAGUACAUACACCUAAAUCACGACAUGCUCAUAUCUACAUUUCUUAGUUGACAUGACCCUCCCAAACCUCAUUAACUUGAAUUUUUGCUAAUGCAGGAAAUUAUCAUCAUAACUUCACAGUUCUUUUCAGAACAAGGAAAGUUCAAGCCCAAACCUCGCAGUGCAGCUGAAGCUCCAUGACAUUGUACAGCAACAGAGAUCCCUUGGUGAUGCUGGCUGGAAUAGCUAAGAAGCAACCAUCCAAACUGGGGGAGAAUGCACAGGUUCCUAAAAUUUUUCAUGUUCAGGAAAGAACCCUCAGUCACUUAAUUUUACUUUAUUACUCAUGCAUCAGAAUCAAAACCUAGCUUAUUAAGCAUGCAAGAUUUGGAUAAACUUAUUGAGAAUGUAGCCUUUGCUCAAUUGUGUUUGAGCCAUAAAAAUAUAAACAUGACAGAGUUAAGAGUUCUUUACCAAGUUCAAGCAUUGCAAUGCAAUGAGCAAAUGAAAAUUCUUGAAUAGAACAGCAAUGUAAAUAAAUGCUAGAAACUUAGACAAAAUUCUCUAGCAUGAACAUAGUAUGCCGGAGAUAGCAAAUACAACAGGAAUAUAUACCAACCUGACCUUUUGAAUUUGGUACCGUAUCAAUCGUGUCCAAGAUUGUGAGACUAUUUAUGUCGUAUAUGUAUGUCUUAUCUUGAAGUAGUA